CAGAAUCUCAGAGGCAGGAGGGAACUCACAGCCUGUCUAGGCCACCUAGUUCAGCAGUGACUGACCAGCACCUCCAACAAUCCCAUUUCUGCUGAUUACUACCAGUGAGACUUUGGACAAGCUGCAAUCCCCUACCAGCACUGCUUCUUUUUAGACUUCAACACCAUAUCUCAGCUGCAGUCCCACCCUGGAUUUUCCCUCAAGGCCUGAGACCUCUUUUCUCUGGAAUAUCCAUCAACUCCCAUGGCCAUAUUACCCUGGAAUAUCCUUCUGCUAUGCUGACCCUCCUCUACCACAGUGAUCCAGGACAAUUCCGAAGGUCUUAUGACAAUUCUGAAGCACUCAUCUCUGUCUCUGGAGAAAGAACUGAUGGAGUCUGAAUGCAGAUUGAAGCAUACUUUUUUUUUUUUACU
Long non-coding RNA from Trichosurus vulpecula (common brushtail), 413 nucleotides. RefSeq lists it as uncharacterized. The transcript is spliced from 3 exons. NCBI's taxonomy places the organism in Eukaryota, Metazoa, Chordata, Mammalia, Diprotodontia, Phalangeridae. The record is from RefSeq and is a predicted model, not a curated record.